UGUGGUCAAGUUAUUAAGGGUAUAUGGGGGAUGCCUUGGCAUUAGAAGCUGUUGGCGUGGAAGUCUGCGAAAAGCCUGGGGGAGGUGACAAACAACCUAAGAACCCGGGAUUCUAACGUAAACCUGGUGAACUGAAACAUCUAAGUAACCAGAGGAAGAGAAAGAAAAAUCCAUUCCUUUAGUAGCGGCGAGCGAAACAGGAAUAGCCCAAACCGAGAGGGUUUCCCUCUCGGGGUUGUAGGACCCGCAAUAUGUAGUUGAUAGCGUAGUAGAAUAAACUGGAAAGUUUAACCGUAGAGGGUGACAGUCCCGUACACGAAACGCGAUUCAACGCUAGCGGUGCUCCUGAGUAGGUCGGGUCACGUGAAACCCUGACUGAAUCUACGGGGACCAUCCCGUAAGGCUAAAUACUCUCUAAUGACCGAUAGUGUACUCAGUAGGGUGACUGAAAGGUGAAAAGAACCCCUGUUAGGGGAGUGAAAUAGAAUCUGAAACCAUAUACUUACAAGCGGUUGGAGCACUAUACCAUUUAUGGGAUGUGUGACAGCGUGCCUUUUGCAUAAUGAUCCGGCGAGUUACUGUCUGCGGCACGGCGAAGGUCUUACGGACCACAGCCUCAGGGAAACCGAGUCUUAAUAGGGCGCAUAGUCGUUGGUAGUAGACGCGAAACUGAGUGAUCUAUCCAUGAGCAGGUUGAAGCGCGGGUUAUACUGCGUGGAGGACCGAACCCACUUGGGUUGAAAACCGAGGGGAUGACUUGUGGAGAGGAGUGAAAGUCUAAUCAAACUCAGAGAUAGCUCGUUCUCUUCGAAAUAGCUUGAGGGCUAGCCUUGAGCCACUAUGAAUCGGGGGUAGAGAGACUGAAUUAGAUGGGGGCCCUUCCCGGGGUACCCCACUAAACCAAACUCCGAAUACCGAUUUAUGUAUCUCAGGAGUCAGUCCGCGGGGGAUAAGCUUCGCGGUCGAGAGGGAAACAACCCAGACCAUCUGCUAAGGUCCCUAAGUAGUACUCAGUCACUAAGGAAGUUGAUUUGCUGAGACAGCCAGGAUGUUGGCUUAGAAGCAGCCACCAUUUAAAAAGUGCGUAACAGCUUACUGGUCGAGCAUUUCUGCGCCGAUAAUGAACGGGAGUAAGUACUACACCGAAGCAGUGGAUUGCAAUUUAUUGCAGUGGUAGAAGAGCGCUGUACGUCAGCAAGCCGUACCGAAAGGAGCGGUGACGGGAUGUACAGGUGAUUAUGCCGGAAUGAGUAACGAUAAAGCAGGUGAGAAUCCUGCUCGCCGAAAGCCUAAGGUUUCCUGGGGAAGGCAAUUCCGCCCAGGGUUAGC
Molecule: ribosomal RNA, 1329 nt
Filed under: Rhodopirellula sp.
Lineage: Bacteria; Pseudomonadati; Planctomycetota; Planctomycetia; Pirellulales; Pirellulaceae
Description: bacterial LSU rRNA
Rfam family: Bacterial large subunit ribosomal RNA
Source: RNAcentral